Long non-coding RNA from Corvus hawaiiensis (hawaiian crow), 6541 nucleotides. RefSeq lists it as uncharacterized. The record is from RefSeq and is a predicted model, not a curated record. Lineage: Eukaryota; Metazoa; Chordata; Aves; Passeriformes; Corvidae. The transcript has 2 exons.
AGACAAGACCGAGGGAAGGGGGAAAUUUUCAAUGCAGCAGUGAUAUUUUGGUUCACUGAAAGAGAGUCUAAAAGCAGAGGCAUGUUAUAGAGAAGACUGAAGUGCAGCUGGGCUGCAGGGAAAUGCUCCAAUGCCAGGUGCCUGCAUUACCCCCAAUGCAGGGGGUAUCCUGCAUUAAAAGUUGUCAGAGUGAUGUGACCUCCUGAGUUGCUGGGUAAUGGCCACGUGACAUGGCUAUAACAAAGUAUUUCCAAGUUGCAGAGCUAGGCAGGAUAACAAACUGCUGUGCUGUACAUCUAGAAGAGAAACAGGCUCUUCUCCUUUCCAUGAGAAGGUAGCUGGUGUCUCAGUGAAACUGCAGGCUGAAAAAUGUGGGACAUCCACCAGGAUAUAUUACUGAAGAAAGAGUAGACGGGAAACUGAGGCUGGGAAUCUCUUCUGCCUAGCAGCAGAGCCCCAGAUUUGUGCCCACCAGGGGUUUGAGCUGUAUCACCAAGUUUUCUGGCAGCCAGAGAGCAAAUGGGAUGCUCAACCAUUGAGACAUGAGGCUCUGAGUCAAAUGUUGCCAUGCUCCUCUGACAGUGCUCAGCUAUCACCUCAGGGAUGACGUAAAUGGUGAUCAUAUUUAGCUUUUACACAGUUCAGCUUUAAAAUGGUGUUAGAGCCAGUUUACAGAGAGAGACACCAACAUCAAAACUCCUCUUCAAAAGAUUGAGAAAUUGGGCAUGAAUGAGAAAACAAUUUGCCUAUCAUCCCUUAUCAGCCUAAUAAUAAAAGCAGGGUUUGGAGCCUUUAACAUUUCUGAGGUGAGCCCUCUUCCACCAACCUUUUAAAAAUAGGAGGUGACUUAGUCUGUAACAAAUUCCUCCACACUGGCAGCUUCACAUUAACCUCUUGAGGAGAGGAGGGAGCACAUGUGUUUCCUGGUAAACCAUUAGUGGCAUUGCUGCUGCACUGCUUGGUGAGCUGUGCGAGAGCAAAACUGAGUGCUUCUGGGGCUUUCUCAAAAUAGUAAACAGGCUGGUACAACAAAUGGAAUUGUCACUGAUACGGGAGUAACAGCUCUGAACGGGGUGGGUUUGUGCAGGUGUGACCUGUGCUCUUUAAUCACCUUAGGUCUUACAAUAAAGAUCAUAAAAUAGACCUUUAGUGAUUUAGCUGUAUCCUGACAGAAGCGGAGUUGUAGCAGGAUCGGCAUCUUCCAGUCAGUCCCUCAGUUGCCAUGGUAACUCCCUAGGAUGGGGUGCACUUCAGAAAAAUGCAACUUCUGGGCUAAACUGUGGGCUGGAGGGUGGCAGAUGGAUGGGAUUCAGCUGCCUCAGAGGGUGGUACUCCACAGCCAGACAUUCAGAUUUAGGAAUCUACCCAAGUGGUCCAUUUGGCACAUCAGAAGCAAAAUUUAUUUUAAACCAUCAAUUUGUUCCCAGAUUUGCUUACUGAGCCACGAAACAUGCAGAGCUAGAUGAAUUCCCGUGUAAUCCAAGCCUGCCUGAAAGCCUCGUGGAUUGCCCUGAGCAAGGGACUUGAUGAAGCCAUGGCCCCUUCUCAUGAGCAGCCAGCAGAGCCAAGGAGGGCUUCCCAUUUUGCUGGGGGAAGUUAAGCUGUCUGGCAGCCUGACACACACCCAGAGCCAAGGACUUGGGAUCCAAACGCAGCUGCGAGCUGGAAUUGAUGUUGUUGGAGUCACUGCACCCCUCUCAAAACACAGGCAGCAUAUUUCCUUACAGAAAUGUUUUGAAAACUAAAUGUCCUUAUAAUUUUCUGUUCACAAAACAAUUUGAAAUGAAAAAAGGAGAGAAGAAACAUCCUGUUCCAACAUGGCACAGGACCACGUUUGAACAAGAACAUUUCUUGUAAGGGUUUGUCAGCCAGCUGGAGUGCACAUGGCCUGAGGAUCUGGGAACCUCCUGGAUCUAAGAGCAGAAAUCAGGAGAAAAACAAACAAAUCAGCCAACCAACAAAAAUAACCAGCACCACAGGUGUAGGAGAAGUCAACUCGGUUUUAAACAACUACUGCUGUGGGUUGGGGGGUUUUGUGAAACACAUUUAUUGUGGCUCCUUUAUACCAUGUGCAGUGGUAAGUCCGCCAUAAUAGUUGUGUUGUUAUAUUAAAUUAAUUUUCCACUAUUGUUUUCAGAAACAUGAUAUGCCUUGGUAUCCAUGAACAACUUGUGUAUGCCACUUUUCCUGCACUGCUCAGCUAUCCUGUUGCUUUCUACACGCAGCGUUGUGUAAAGUCUCCCUGGUUUGCUGGUGUCUCAGGUGAAGUUCAUUGGAUAACAGAUUCGUCAUCAUUCCAAGUAGAUGGAUGAACACUGGAAUCCUAUCAGCAGCUUCCACCAGCGUCCUCUGGAUUUACCAAGUUGUACCUGAAAUUUCUCAUCUCUGAACUGGCUUUUCAAGAGUGCUAGCUCCAAAAUGGCACAACCAGGGAGGUCCCUUUGCUAAUGGACAAAGCAGAGAGAACACAGGAAAGGGCAGGGAAGGGAAGAAUUAAAAGCAGCCCUUCCUCCAGGUGAGUGAACAAAAAUGACCCCAUAAUGGCAGCAGCAUAGAGAGGCUUCUCAUUUGUCUACAUAAUUCACUGUGCAUCACUUUGAGCUCUGCCAUUGUGAACAACACCUGGUCUUGUUAUGGCAAAAAAAAAAAUGCAGUUACCAGCUGAGAGAUGCACUGACUUUAAAGGUUGUGGGUUUUGAGCUGGAAGGGACGGUGGGUUUGGGAUGGUCCAUUUGUUCUGGGCUCCAUUUCAUCUGUUUGUGCAGUACAACCUGAAACAUCCAGGAUAAAUGUGCCAGGCUUUUUUCAUUUAUCAACAUCCUUGCUUGAGGGAUGAGCACAGGGAUCUUGUGCAGCUGAAUCUGCAGAUUCAUUAAUCUGCAUUGAGUGUGUAGUAAUCAAAUUCUAGGCCUUUUUUACAGAUUAAUGUUCACUCCUAUAACCAAUAUAUGCAUUAAAGGGAGUUCUUAAAAACCAGCAGUUGAAAUGAGGAAUCAGUAUUUCCAAGAAAAGUGAAGAACACACCUGAUUUCUUAUUAUGUAACACAGAGGGGAAAAACCCCCCAAAAUACACCACUCACUGUUUGCAUGAGAUAAGCUUUUUUGCUCAGUUCCACUUGAGAGAUCAUCAGCAGUAUUUUUCUAGCCAGUGGGAAAUUAUGCAGCUUGAUGUUUUUGCUAAACUGCCAGCUUUUAAAGGCACAGGAUUGAAAUCCCACACCAAAUCAAAACAAGUUUGGAUGACCAAUAAUAAUUUUGGUUAUUUUUGUGAGUAUGACUUGUUCAUAUCUUGGGGCUAGUAGGAGAUGUGCUACUCUCUCGCAUAAAAGCAUCACUUGCCCUUAUGCUCAGGGUACAGCAUUUCACUAAAUCACUGAGAAACUGCAUGUUUCUUUUUUAUUUUUAAUAAUCUGUAACUUCUAUUUGCUACACAAUGAUUUGCAUAUAUAUAAUGAUCUACCUUCAACUAAGAUAAACUCCUAGAUACCAUUUUCUCACAUACUUCUACAUUGAUUGAAACUUCUCCCUCAGCACCAAACAGACUUGAAUUGUAAUCUAAAAGGGGGAUUAUACUUAUCAGUCCAUAUUUUUAUCUGUAAAGAUGAAUAAUGGUGGCAUUUUUCUACUAGGAUGUUUGUAAUAGCUGAAUUCAGGGUUGUUUUUCCUCUUAUUCAUGGGAUGAACCUGGUUGGUUCUUUCUGCUGUAAAAUGUUUACGGUACAGCAUGCCUGUGCAUUGUUUCUGGCCUAUUAAACACUGUCUACACAGAAAAGUCACUAUUAAAUAUCUGUACUGAUCUUCACCAAGACAUUCAUGUGAUGCAAGAAAUUCAGCAGAGAUACGUUGAUGUCAGCUGAACUCCUAAUCCAUUUUGGCUGUUGGCCUCUUGCUGUUGUACCAUCAGCUUGGGGCCAUGGUAGUAGCAGAGGAAGCAGUAAGUGGCAGACUGGUGUCCAAAUUUAGUCUCCUAAUGAUUGCUUCUUGAAGAAAAAAACCAACAAGACCCCCAACAAAACCUGUGGAAACAACAAUGGCUAAUUUGAGUUAUUGUUUCAUGUUCCUUUCUUAGGACUUUCUUUAUCCACUUCCAAGCAGAGUUGAUGCAUUUUCUUUCACAGGGUUAAACUUCAGUCAGAAGGCAUUUCAGCCCUUAUCUUUGGUGUCCUCAUUCCCCUUGGUGAACAGAAAUGUUUCUUCUCACUUUCUUUUGCUGUUUUUGCAGUAGCUGCAAAGCCAAGACUUGCUGAGUGAAGACAAUUUCCAGGUCUGGUCUUUGAUCAGACCCACUGGAGCAACCCCGCUACUGCCAUCUGAGGUAACUCCUGUGGCAUGAAACAUGGUCAGUGGAGCACCAAAAAAUUACUUGGGUGGAACCACUUGUGAUUUGUUUCCUUUUCUCCUUCUAGUUUCCUGUGUCUUGAAAGGAAUGCUUGAAGAGAUGUUAGUGUUUUCCUAGCUAGGGUAUCAGUUUAAAGGAUUUUAAAGCUUGAAGGUGCCAGGAUAAUCCUCCUGCUCCAGGCCACAGAAUUUCUCUUCAGUUUUUAGCCACUGGAUCUUGCAUUCAUUUUUCUCUCAGAUAUAGACCCAUGAUGAAUGAGAAGUCAUCUCUGUGCUGGAAUGGUCUCUCUGCAAUAUUUGAAUGGGUUUUUGUUCUUCCAACACCUUAUGAAGGGGAGAAGUUGGUACUCUGAAGUUGGAUGUGAGACCCAGUGACGAUGGCCAUGAAUUGGCACACCAAUGCAAUCACCUUCCUAUUUCCAAGGAGUAAAGGAUCAACGCUAGAUUUUUAUAGACAAUUAGCUUUUAGAAUUGCUCUGUCAUUACUUGGAUUGGAUAAUGCAUGUUUUCUUGGGACAGCUGUAAUAAGGUUUCAGAAGAAAAUGGAAUGAGACAAUGCAAUUAUCACCCAUGAUUACUCCUUUUGUUCCUGUCUUAGUCAGCUCUUGGUGGGGGAGGGUUUCUUGUUUAGUGUUUCAUAAAUUAUUUCCUGUUGUAAUGGUUUUGAUUCAUUAUAUGAAUCAAAGUGGUGGAGAUGUCAGCAAAAAAUAAUUGUAUUCCUAAAAUGAUAUAUCAAACACAGAGGACAGCUAAUAUGAAAUGUAUUGUGAGAGCCAAAGCUGGUACACCCUGAUAGGUAAGGAAAUGCACACUCAAAAAUAAUAAUUAUGUACUGAAGGAUAAAGAGGAAGACCACGUUCACAGCAGGAGAAAAGCAAGAUGAAGCACACGUUGGGUUUACAGAUAUGUACACAUAAUUCCUUUGCAUUUUAUGCAUGGUGCUCUUGGGAGACUCUUCAGUGCCUGCAGCAUUUGAUUCCAGCUUUCAGCAACUGUACUCUCAGAUAUCAAGAGUUUUACAAAUUCUGCCAAAAAGUUGGAAAAUGGAAAAUCUGUGGUCAUGGCUGGCCAGUGAGAAAAGGUACCAGAUCACACCAUGACUUCUCAAGCUACUGCCAAAAUCAGCUACAUCAAGAACAGGAUUUUCUAAGCCUGUUCAAUGUCUCUGAGCCAGCUGGUCACCUCCCCAUCUUUGCUUUCAGUAAAAUGGGUCCCCAGAGGCAACACACAGCUCUUUCAGUAUCACUAAUGUUUUCUCCAGGAAAAAUAUUUUCAUUCUCAAAAAAUCCCAAUGGACUUUAUUUAUAAUUUACAGAAAUAUUUUAACCUAAAAUUUUUAUAAUUAUUGGUUUCAAAAUGAUAUCCCUACUGUGGCUUGUUGUAGCUCCUAAUAAAUACUGUUUUCUGGAGACUUAUAAGCCUCAUUUCUCUCCAGAUGACUGAAGCUAGCAAGAGCUCAUAAACCAUAGGAAAGUAGACCUGAAGAACAUUUAAUAAUUCAAAUCACCUUCUUCAAGAACAGUUAGUGAAGAAAAUAUAUUUUCUUGUUAGAAGCUUGCAAAGAUACUGAACAGCUUUGAAUGAACUGGCAGCCAACUAUGAGUUGGCUGUGCAAUAGGAAAAAGUAAACAGAGGAGAAAGAAAAACAUAUCCAGUUAAAACUACUUGGAUCUGCUAACUACUGACAGGGCAAGAGCACUUAAAAAAACCCCCCAAAACCAACAAAACAAUACAUUAAAGCAGCUUUUUCAAAUUAUGUUAGUCCUUCCAAACCAAACACUGGGAAAAGUCAGGUGGUUGUUUAGCUUAUUCUGAUUUUUAAUUUAAAGGGAAAAACUGAUCCCCAGCAUCUCUGUCUAGAAGAUGUGAAACAUGAAGGAAUGUCAAGAUCAUGAUUAUCUAGCCUUUUACUCCUGUUUGUUUGUUAAGUAGACAGCAAAUUCUGUGUUAUACUGAGCUUCUGAGACAGUGAAACUGAAAAUAUGCUGUCCAGAUUAAAUCUGGGUAAAAGUAACACUUUGUGAUUAACUUGGUAAUAAACAAGGUUUAUUCCAUUGCAUUUAGUGUGAUUCAAUAUAAUGUACUUUAGUAUUUAAUGUAAUUAACGACUUUUAAAAAAGAAACCUGUCUUGGUUAAAAAAGAACUGCAAAAAAAUUGAAAACUUUAGUGCAAAUGGAAUAAAACUGUCUUUCUGUGACCUUA